GUGUCAACAGCACCUGAAACAUCACUUAGCACAGGAGCAUCUUCAACAACAUUUUCCUCAUCAAGCAAUACUUCACUAAAUGAACUAACAGUCUUCUUUGAAGACUUGGUCUUCUUUUUCUUGUCCGUGAAAAUAAUAGGUUCAUCUUCUUCAUCCUUGUCUUUCUUCUCAUCAUCAUCCUCAUCCUCAUUUUCAAGCAGAUCAAAUGCAGAACUCCUCAUCCUGCCACCCUUAUUCGACUUCUUUUUCUUGUCCGUGAAAGUAAUAGGUUCAUCAUCUUCAUCUUUGUCUUCCUUGACAUCAUCAUUUUCAUUGACAAGCAGAUCGAAAGUAGAACUGUUCUUGCCACUCUUCUUUGAUUUCUUUUUCUUGUCUGUGAAAAUAACAGGUUCAUCUUCUUCAUCUUUGUCUUCCCUCACAUCCUCAUCUUCAUCAUCAAGAAGAUCAAAAGCAGAGGCCGAAAAUCCAGUAGUACCGCUCUUCUUCUUGCCACCUUUCUUUGACUUCUCCACCACAUCAUCAUCAUCAUCAUCACUCUCCUCCACAGAAUGAUCAUCAUCAAUCACCUCACUUUCACUACCACCAUCAACUGCAUCAAAAGCCGCUGCCGCAAACAGACUACCACUCUUAUUCCAACCUUUC
RNAcentral lists this long non-coding RNA (642 nucleotides) under Citrus x clementina. RNAcentral describes it as "Citrus clementina (C. clementina) long non-coding RNA (CCLE_LNC003080)". Lineage: Eukaryota; Viridiplantae; Streptophyta; Magnoliopsida; Sapindales; Rutaceae. The record is from RNAcentral.